Molecule: ribosomal RNA, 465 nt
Filed under: uncultured bacterium
Lineage: Bacteria
Description: partial 16S ribosomal RNA
Rfam family: Bacterial small subunit ribosomal RNA
Source: RNAcentral
CUACGGGACGCACCAGUGAGGAAUAUUGCGCAAUGGGGGAAGCCCUGACGCAGCGACGCCGCGUGGAUGAUGAAGGCCUUCGGGUCGUAAAAUCCUGUCAGAAGGAAAGAAGUGUAUGGUAGCUAAUAUCUGCCAUACUUGACGGUACCUUCAAAGGAAGCACCGGCUAACUCCGUGCCAGCAGCCGCGGUAAUACGGAGGGUGCAAGCGUUGUUCGGAAUUACUGGGCGUAAAGCGCGCGUAGGCGGUUUUAUAAGUCAGAGGUGAAAGUCCACGGCUCAACCAUGGAAGUGCAUUUGAAACUGUAAGACUUGAGUAUUGGAGGGGGUAGUGGAAUUCCCGGUGUAGAGGUGAAAUUCGUAGAUAUCGGGAGGAAUACCGGUGGCGAAGGCGACUAUCUGGCCAAAUACUGACGCUGAGGUGCGAAAGCGUGGGGAGCAAACAGGAUUAGAUACCCCCGUAGUC